This 483-nucleotide ribosomal RNA is filed under the name uncultured bacterium. RNAcentral's name for it is "partial 16S ribosomal RNA". It matches the Rfam family "Bacterial small subunit ribosomal RNA", at positions 28 to 507 of the family's 1533-position model. The record is from RNAcentral.
GACGAACGCUGGCGGCGUGCUUAACACAUGCAAGUCGAACGCUGAAGCUCAGCUUUUGUUGGGUGGAUGAGUGGCGAACGGGUGGGUAACACGUGAGUAACCUGCCUCCUUCUUUGGGAUAACGCCCGGAAACGGGCGCUAAUACUGUAUAUUCACUGGUCUUCGCCUGGGGGCUGGUGGAAAGGGUUUUUCUGGUGGGGGAUGGGCUCGCGGCCUAUCAGCUUGUUGGUGGGGUGAUGGCCUACCAAGGCUUUGACGGGUAGACGGCCUGAGAGGGUGACCGGUAACAUUGGGACUGAGAUACGGCCCAGACUCGUACGGGAGGCAGAAGUGGGGAAAAUGGCACAAUGGGCGCAAGACUGAUGCAGCGACGCUGCGUGAGGGAUGGAGGCCUUCGGGUUGUGAACCUCUUUCGCUCAUGGUCAAGCCGCAACAAUGGUUGUGGUGAGGGUAGUGGGUAAAGAAGCGCCGGCUAACUACGUG